AAUCAACGCUGGCGGCGCGCUUAACACAUGCAAGUCGAACGAGAAAGCAGGAGCAAUCUUGUGAGUAAAGUGGCGUACGGGUGAGUAACACGUGGAUCAUCUACCUCUUUGUGGGGGAUAACUCUGGGAAACCGGAGCUAAUACCGCAUAAGUCCGUGAGGAGAAAGCAGCAAUGCGCAGAGAGAGGAGUCCGCGGCCGAUUAGUUAGUUGGCAGGGAAAAGCCUACCAAGACAAAGAUCGGUAGCCGGCCUGAGAGGGCACACGGCCACACUGGCACUGAAACACGGGCCAGACUCCUACGGGAGGCAGCGAGUGGGGAAUCUUGCACAAUGGGGGCAACCCUGAUGCAGCGACGCCGCGUGAGCGAUGAAGCCC
Molecule: ribosomal RNA, 376 nt
Filed under: uncultured bacterium
Lineage: Bacteria
Description: bacterial SSU rRNA
Rfam family: Bacterial small subunit ribosomal RNA
Source: RNAcentral